This 429-nucleotide ribosomal RNA is filed under the name Gemmatimonadota bacterium. RNAcentral describes it as "Gemmatimonadetes bacterium partial 16S ribosomal RNA". It matches the Rfam family "Bacterial small subunit ribosomal RNA", at positions 355 to 776 of the family's 1533-position model. Lineage: Bacteria; Pseudomonadati; Gemmatimonadota. The record is from RNAcentral.
UAGGGAAUCUUCGGCAAUGGACGAAAGUCUGACCGAGCAACGCCGCGUGAGUGAAGAAGGUUUUCGGAUCGUAAAACUCUGUUGUUAGAGAAGAACAAGGACGGUAGUAACUGAACGGCCCCUGACGGUAUCUAACCAGAAAGCCACGGCUAACUACGUGCCAGCAGCCGCGGUAAUACGUAGGUGGCAAGCGUUGUCCGGAUUUAUUGGGCGUAAAGCGAGCGCAGGCGGUUUCUUAAGUCUGAUGUGAAAGCCCCCGGCUCAACCGGGGAGGGUCAUUGGAACCUGGGAGACUUGAGUGCAGAAGAGGAGAGUGGAAUUCCGUGUGUAGCGGUGAAAUGCGUAGAUAUAUGGAGGAACACCAGUGGCGAAGGCGGCUCUCUGGUCUGUAACUGACGCUGAGGCUCGAAAGCGUGGGGAGCAAACAGG